Molecule: transfer RNA, 74 nt
Filed under: Puniceicoccales bacterium
Lineage: Bacteria; Pseudomonadati; Verrucomicrobiota; Opitutia; Puniceicoccales
Description: tRNA-Gly
Rfam family: tRNA
About the family: Transfer RNA (tRNA) molecules are approximately 80 nucleotides in length. Their secondary structure includes four short double-helical elements and three loops (D, anti-codon, and T loops).
Source: RNAcentral
GCGGGCAUAGUUUAGAGGCAAAACCCAUGCCUUCCAAGCAUGUGUCGUCGGUUCGAUUCCGUCUGCCCGCACCA